This 78-nucleotide transfer RNA is filed under the name Corynebacterium tuberculostearicum SK141. Its description in RNAcentral is "tRNA-Lys". It matches the Rfam family "tRNA". Rfam says of the family: Transfer RNA (tRNA) molecules are approximately 80 nucleotides in length. Their secondary structure includes four short double-helical elements and three loops (D, anti-codon, and T loops). Further hydrogen bonds mediate the characteristic L-shaped molecular structure. tRNAs have two regions of fundamental functional importance: the anti-codon, which is responsible for specific mRNA codon recognition, and the 3' end, to which the tRNAs corresponding amino acid is attached (by aminoacyl-tRNA synthetases). tRNAs cope with the degeneracy of the genetic code in two manners: having more than one tRNA (with a specific anti-codon) for a particular amino acid; and 'wobble' base-pairing, i.e. permitting non-standard base-pairing at the 3rd anti-codon position. Lineage: Bacteria; Bacillati; Actinomycetota; Actinomycetes; Mycobacteriales; Corynebacteriaceae. The record is from RNAcentral.
UGGGCCUUUAGCUCAGUUGGUAGAGCUACGGACUUUUAAUCCGCAGGUCGUGGGUUCGAUCCCCACAGGGCCCACAAC